GACGAACGCUGGCGGCGUGCUUAACACAUGCAAGUCGAACGAAGAGCGAUGGAAGCUUGCUUCUAUCAAUCUUAGUGGCGAACGGGUGAGUAACGCGUAAUCAACCUGCCCUUCAGAGGGGGACAACAGUUGGAAACGACUGCUAAUACCGCAUACGAUCUAAUCUCGGCAUCGAGGAUAGAUGAAAGGUGGCCUCUACAUGUAAGCUAUCACUGAAGGAGGGGAUUGCGUCUGAUUAGCUAGUUGGAGGGGUAACGGCCCACCAAGGCGAUGAUCAGUAGCCGGUCUGAGAGGAUGAACGGCCACAUUGGGACUGAGACACGGCCCAGACUCCUACGGGAGGCAGCAGUGGGGAAUCUUCCGCAAUGGACGAAAGUCUGACGGAGCAACGCCGCGUGAGUGAUGACGGCCGUCGGGUUGUAAAGCCCUGUUAAUCGGGACGAAAGGCCUUCUUGCGAAUAGGGAGAAGGAUUGACGGUACCGGAAGAGAAAGCCACGGCUAACUACGUG
Molecule: ribosomal RNA, 510 nt
Filed under: uncultured bacterium
Lineage: Bacteria
Description: partial 16S ribosomal RNA
Rfam family: Bacterial small subunit ribosomal RNA
Source: RNAcentral